AUUGAACGCUGGCGGCAGGCCUAACACAUGCAAGUCGAGCGGCAGCGGAAAGUAGCUUGCUACUUUGCCGGCGAGCGGCGGACGGGUGAGUAAUGUCUGGGAAACUGCCUGAUGGAGGGGGAUAACUACUGGAAACGAUAGCUAAUACCGCAUGACCUCGAAAGAGCAAAGUGGGGGAUCUUCGGACCUCACGCCAUCGGAUGUGCCCAGAUGGGAUUAGCUAGUAGGUGAGGUAAUGGCUCACCUAGGCGACGAUCCCUAGCUGGUCUGAGAGGAUGACCAGCCACACUGGAACUGAGACACGGUCCAGACUCCUACGGGAGGCAGCAGUGGGGAAUAUUGCACAAUGGGCGCAAGCCUGAUGCAGCCAUGCCGCGUGUGUGAAGAAGGCCUUAGGGUUGUAAAGCACUUUCAGCGAGGAGGAAGGCACCAUACUUAAUACGUGUGGUGAUUGACGUUACUCGCAGAAGAAGCACCGGCUAACUCCGUGCCAGCAGCCGCGGUAAUACGGAGGGUGCAAGCGUUAAUCGGAAUUACUGGGCGUAAAGCGCACGCAGGCGGUUUGUUAAGUCAGAUGUGAAAUCCCCGCGCUUAACGUGGGAACUGCAUUUGAAACUGGCAAGCUAGAGUCUUGUAGAGGGGGGUAGAAUUCCAGGUGUAGCGGUGAAAUGCGUAGAGAUCUGGAGGAAUACCCGGUGGCGAAGGCGGCCCCCUGGACAAAGACUGACGCUCAGGUGCGAAAGCGUGGGGAGCAAGCAG
RNAcentral lists this ribosomal RNA (759 nucleotides) under uncultured Enterobacteriaceae bacterium. Its description in RNAcentral is "bacterial SSU rRNA". It matches the Rfam family "Bacterial small subunit ribosomal RNA", at positions 28 to 775 of the family's 1533-position model. The record is from RNAcentral. Lineage: Bacteria; Pseudomonadati; Pseudomonadota; Gammaproteobacteria; Enterobacterales; Enterobacteriaceae.